Non-coding RNA from Sporosarcina sp. HYO08, 68 nucleotides. NCBI's taxonomy places the organism in Bacteria, Bacillati, Bacillota, Bacilli, Caryophanales, Caryophanaceae. The record is from Rfam.
AUUAUGGAGAGUUUGAUCCUGGCUCAGGACGAACGCUGGCGGCGUGCCUAAUACAUGCAAGUCGAGCG